RNAcentral lists this ribosomal RNA (400 nucleotides) under Leptobrachella ventripunctata (speckle-bellied metacarpal-tubercled toad). RNAcentral's name for it is "partial 16S ribosomal RNA". It matches the Rfam family "Bacterial large subunit ribosomal RNA", at positions 1946 to 2518 of the family's 2925-position model. The record is from RNAcentral. Lineage: Eukaryota; Metazoa; Chordata; Amphibia; Anura; Megophryidae.
CCGUGCAAAGGUAGCGUAAUCAUUUGUCUUUUAAUUGAAGACUAGUAUGAAUGGCAUCACGAGGACUAAUCUGUCUCCCUCCCCCAAUCAGUGAAACUGAUCUCCCCGUGCAGAAGCGGGGAUAAUAUCAUAAGACGAGAAGACCCUGUGGAGCUUCAAAUCAAUAAUCAACUGCUUCACCCACCCCAAAUAAAGGAUACACUCACGCAAACUUGAUUUAGAUUUUCAGCUGGGGCGUCUAUGGAGAAAAAAAAAUCCUCCAUGAAAAUUCAUGCUAAAAGCUACCACCAUAGGCAUUAAUAUACUUAACUUUAAUUGACCCAAUUUUUGAUCAACGGACCAAGUUACCCCAGGGAUAACAGCGCUAUCCACUUAAAGAGUCCUUAUCGACAAGUGGGCU